This 476-nucleotide ribosomal RNA is filed under the name Veillonella dispar. Its description in RNAcentral is "bacterial SSU rRNA". It matches the Rfam family "Bacterial small subunit ribosomal RNA", at positions 28 to 473 of the family's 1533-position model. The record is from RNAcentral. Lineage: Bacteria; Bacillati; Bacillota; Negativicutes; Veillonellales; Veillonellaceae.
GACGAACGCUGGCGGCGUGCUUAACACAUGCAAGUCGAACGAAGAGCGAUGGAAGCUUGCUUCUAUCAAUCUUAGUGGCGAACGGGUGAGUAACGCGUAAUCAACCUGCCCUUCAGAGGGGGACAACAGUUGGAAACGACUGCUAAUACCGCAUACGAUCUAAUCUCGGCAUCGAGGAUGGAUGAAAGGUGGCCUCUAUUUAUAAGCUAUCACUGAAGGAGGGGAUUGCGUCUGAUUAGCUAGUUGGAGGGGUAACGGCCCACCAAGGCGAUGAUCAGUAGCCGGUCUGAGAGGAUGAACGGCCACAUUGGGACUGAGACACGGCCCAGACUCCUACGGGAGGCAGCAGUGGGGAAUCUUCCGCAAUGGACGAAAGUCUGACGGAGCAACGCCGCGUGAGUGAUGACGGCCUUCGGGUUGUAAAGCUCUGUUAAUCGGGACGAAAGGCCUUCUUGCGAAUAGUUAGAAGGAAUGAC